This is a long non-coding RNA of Xenia sp. Carnegie-2017, 64 nucleotides long. RefSeq lists it as uncharacterized. NCBI's taxonomy places the organism in Eukaryota, Metazoa, Cnidaria, Anthozoa, Malacalcyonacea, Xeniidae. The transcript has 3 exons. The record is from RefSeq and is a predicted model, not a curated record.
AAAGACUGUUUUUGUUGUUUUGACUGAUGUUUCGACAACCUCAGCGGUAGUUAUCUUCGGAGUC